This is a long non-coding RNA of Pygocentrus nattereri (red-bellied piranha), 1386 nucleotides long. Lineage: Eukaryota; Metazoa; Chordata; Actinopteri; Characiformes; Serrasalmidae. The record is from Ensembl.
AAAUAACAAAUAAGGUUAAAUUUGUUCUUUUUGCUCAUGAUAACAGGUGGAGCACUGCCAUAAAGGACAAAACACUCCUGCUUGAGUGCAUGAAACUGAGUAAAUGAUGAGGCUUUCUAUUCUUCUGAUGUUCCUCUUGGCUCUGGCUCCCAGCUCUGGCUCUGCUUCACGUUGUAAGGAAAAUUGGAAUAACCAAAAAGGCUACACUAAAUUCUCAGAAAAGCACAUUCUGUCAAUAAAUAUUGAAAGAAACCUGAAACUGAAAGUACUAAAGGACAGAUUUGAAACAUACCUACAAAAACAAGAGCUCUGUGGAAGAGUAGAUUUGCAGACCUUCUUUAAACAGAAUGACAGAAAUAAAGUUGACAGCAUCUGUAAUGGUCGCGGCUUUGUAGACGGUCCUGGAAAUCUGUGCAUCAGUGAGCAGAAGUUCACUGUUUACAUGGUGGAAAGCAGGAAAGUCAAAAGUGGUUGUAAAGUAAAUAGAGUUAAUAUCGAGACCCUGUAUGUGGUUGUUGGCUGCGGAAAGAUUAAAGACAAAUGUCUGCCUGUCCACUUUCAUAAUCAGACCUCUGUGGCACCAAAACCAGAUGCUGUUCGUUGUAAACCAAAGCAGCUCAUUCAUUCUGCACCUAAACACAAAACCUUCUUUUGGUUCUAUUUGUCUUCUUCCAAGCUUCCCACUGCUGGAUAAAAGUCUCUGCUAGAAAAAUCUAUGCUAAUUAUACACUCACCGGCCACUUUAUUAGGUACAAUUGCUUGUUAGCACAAAUAGCUAAUCAGCCAAUCACACGGCUGCAACUCACUGCAUUGAGGCGUGUAGAGGUGGUCAAGACAACUUGCUGAAGUGCAGACUGAGCAUCAGAACGGGGAAGAAAGGGGAUUUAAGGGGCUUUGAACGUGGCGUGGUUGUUGGUGCCAGACAGGCUGAUCUGAGUAUUUCAGAACCUGCUGAUCUGCUGGGAUUUUCACACACAACCAUCUCGAGGGUUUACAGAGAACGGUCCGAAAAAGAGGAAACAUCCAGUGAGCGGUCAGUUGUGUGGAUGAAGAUGCCUUGUUGAUGUGAGAGGUCAGAGGAGAAUGGGCAGACUGGUUCCAGAUGAUAGAAAGGCAGCAGUAACUCAAAGAACCACUUGUAAGAAACCAAGGAGUGCAGAACACCAUCUCUGAAUGCACAACGUGUAAUUUGUACCUAAUAAAGUGGCCAGUGAGUGUAGUUCAAGAAGAGCCUAAACAUUUAAAGAAUAAGCACUUGCAUAUUUUCCUGCUGUUAUUGUGAUUAUAAAGUUCCUCUUAAUAAGUUGUGACUAUGUUUAAAGAUCUGAAUUGUGAAUUUAAAAGCCUGUGUGAAUGUUUUAUAUGCAAGAAACUGAAAGAUGUUGC